This 353-nucleotide ribosomal RNA is filed under the name uncultured bacterium. Its description in RNAcentral is "bacterial SSU rRNA". It matches the Rfam family "Bacterial small subunit ribosomal RNA", at positions 8 to 350 of the family's 1533-position model. The record is from RNAcentral.
AGAGUUUGAUCAUGGCUCAGGAUGAACGCUAGCUACAGGCUUAACACAUGCAAGUCGAGGGGAAACGACAUCGAAAGCUUGCUUUUGAUGGGCGUCGACCGGCGCACGGGUGAGUAACGCGUAUCCAACCUGCCCACCACUUGGGGAUAACCUUGCGAAAGUAAGACUAAUACCCAAUGACGUCUCUAGAAGACAUCUGAAAGAGAUUAAAGAUUUAUCGGUGAUGGAUGGGGAUGCGUCUGAUUAGCUUGUUGGCGGGGUAACGGCCCACCAAGGCGACGAUCAGUAGGGGUUCUGGGAGGAAGGUCCCCCACAUUGGAACUGAGACACGGCCCAAACUCCUACGGGAGGCA